This 528-nucleotide ribosomal RNA is filed under the name uncultured bacterium. Its description in RNAcentral is "bacterial SSU rRNA". It matches the Rfam family "Bacterial small subunit ribosomal RNA", at positions 777 to 1304 of the family's 1533-position model. The record is from RNAcentral.
AAUAGAUACCCUGGUAGUCCACGCCGUAAACGAUGAGUGCUAAGUGUUAGAGGGUUUCCGCCCUUUAGUGCUGCAGCUAACGCAUUAAGCACUCCGCCUGGGGAGUACGGCCGCAAGGCUGAAACUCAAAGGAAUUGACGGGGGCCCGCACAAGCGGUGGAGCAUGUGGUUUAAUUCGAAGCAACGCGAAGAACCUUACCAGGUCUUGACAUCCUCUGACAACCCUAGAGAUAGGGCUUUCCCCUUCGGGGGACAGAGUGACAGGUGGUGCAUGGUUGUCGUCAGCUCGUGUCGUGAGAUGUUGGGUUAAGUCCCGCAACGAGCGCAACCCUUGAUCUUAGUUGCCAGCAUUCAGUUGGGCACUCUAAGGUGACUGCCGGUGACAAACCGGAGGAAGGUGGGGAUGACGUCAAAUCAUCAUGCCCCUUAUGACCUGGGCUACACACGUGCUACAAUGGAUGGUACAAAGGGCUGCAAACCUGCGAAGGUAAGCGAAUCCCAUAAACCAUUCUCAGUUCGGAUUGCAGG